CCCGACGGAGGCUCGGCG
RNAcentral lists this microRNA (18 nucleotides) under Meleagrid alphaherpesvirus 1 (Turkey herpesvirus). RNAcentral describes it as "hvt-miR-H3-3p". Its record names the gene hvt-miR-H3-3p. Lineage: Duplodnaviria; Heunggongvirae; Peploviricota; Herviviricetes; Herpesvirales; Orthoherpesviridae. The record is from miRBase by way of RNAcentral.